GGGGGGUCAAUUCCAUCUUGACUCACAACUGACUACGCAAGUACUUGACUGCACCCAGUGACCUUCCGUCACUGAAUUAGAAAUUCAGGUAGUCCGGUACCAAAGUACAGUGAGUUGCUUACUAGUCACAGGUUGCGGUCUCAGGUCAGAGGGCCAAACUUAUACCCAUAUCCACUCGGAACAUCUCUCGACAGUAGAGCGUUCCGGAAUUAGUCACGUUUAGUGAAAUGUACUUCUACACUUCACUUGUGUGGCAUACCAGUGUCUCCACACUCCUUGGUUAAGAGGACAACCAACGUAUAUGUCACACAACGACCUAAUCUCGAUAAUGUU
RNAcentral lists this long non-coding RNA (333 nucleotides) under Phoenix dactylifera (date palm). RNAcentral describes it as "long non-coding RNA (PDAC_LNC017414)". The record is from RNAcentral. Lineage: Eukaryota; Viridiplantae; Streptophyta; Magnoliopsida; Arecales; Arecaceae.